UCCAGACUCCUACGGGAGGCAGCAGUGGGGAAUAUUGCACAAUGGGGGGAACCCUGAUGCAGCGACGCCGCGUGGGCGAGGAAGUAUUUCGGUAUGUAAAGCCCUAUCGGCAGGGAAGAAGAAAUGACGGUACCUGAAUAAGAAGCACCGGCUAAAUACGUGCCAGCAGCCGCGGUAAUACGUAUGGUGCAAGCGUUAUCCGGAUUUACUGGGCGUAAAGGGAGCGCAGGCGGCGCGCCAAGUCUGAUGUGAAACCCCGGGGCUCAACCCCGGGCAUGCAUUGGAAACUGGCGGGCUGGAGUGCCGGAGAGGUAAGCGGAAUUCCUAGUGUAGCGGUGAAAUGCGUAGAUAUUAGGAGGAACACCAGUUGCGAAGGCGGCUCUCUGGACUGUAACUGACACUGAGGCACGAAAGCGUGGGGAGCAAACAGGAUUAGAUACCCUUGUA
RNAcentral lists this ribosomal RNA (447 nucleotides) under uncultured bacterium. RNAcentral describes it as "partial 16S ribosomal RNA". It matches the Rfam family "Bacterial small subunit ribosomal RNA", at positions 330 to 792 of the family's 1533-position model. The record is from RNAcentral.